GACAGAGGAGGCGAGCGUUAUCCGGAAUCACUGGGUGUAAAGGGUGCGUAGGCGGGCGUGCGCGUCUGGGGUGAAAGGCUCCGGCUCAACCGGAGACAUGCCCUGGGUACGGCACGUCUUGGGUGCGGGAGAGGACGAUGGAAUUCCUGGUGUAGCGGUGAAAUGCGUAGAUAUCAGGAGGAACACCGGUGGCGAAGGCGGUCGCCUGGCCCGCAACCGACGCUGAGGCACGAAAGCGUGGGGAGCAAACAGG
This 253-nucleotide ribosomal RNA is filed under the name uncultured bacterium. RNAcentral describes it as "partial 16S ribosomal RNA". It matches the Rfam family "Bacterial small subunit ribosomal RNA", at positions 524 to 776 of the family's 1533-position model. The record is from RNAcentral.